AGCCCGCUAUCGGAGUCGAACCGAUGACCAUCGCAUUACAAG
RNAcentral lists this transfer RNA (42 nucleotides) under Leucoloma tortellum. RNAcentral describes it as "partial tRNA-Thr". The record is from RNAcentral. Lineage: Eukaryota; Viridiplantae; Streptophyta; Bryopsida; Dicranales; Dicranaceae.